This 301-nucleotide ribosomal RNA is filed under the name uncultured bacterium. Its description in RNAcentral is "partial 16S ribosomal RNA". It matches the Rfam family "Bacterial small subunit ribosomal RNA", at positions 509 to 807 of the family's 1533-position model. The record is from RNAcentral.
CAGUCGCCGCGGGAAUACGAAGGGUGCAAGCGUUACUCGGAAUUACUGGGCGUAAAGCGUGCGUAGGUGGUUGUUUAAGUCUGCUGUGAAAGCCCUGGGCUCAACCUGGGAAUGGCAGUGGAUACUGGCAAGCUAGAGUGUGUCAGAGGAUGGUGGAAUUCCCGGUGUAGCGGUGAAAUGCGUAGAGAUCGGGAGGAACAUCAGUGGCGAAGGCGGCCAUCUGGGACAACACUGACGCUGAGGCACGAAAGCGUGGGGAGCAAACAGGAUUAGAUACCCCGGUAGUCCCUGUCUCUUAUAC